CGACAUCCCCAACCCACUAUUUCGCCUAAGACCCAAAUUCAAUCCCAAACUCUCUAAAUUCCCAGCCAAAUCAGCCCACUCCAAAUACCUCCAACCCGGCUCAUUUUCUGUUCAACAAAGAGAAAUCCAAAAACGUUAACAGCAGCAGCGGCGUGGACGACACCCUCGACCCUGCAUAAAAUCGUCCUUGUGGCUGGGAGAUGAAGCCACGUCGCACCCGAGGACGAUGGAAUUCAUCCAACCCGUCCGUUCUUCUUUCCUCUUCCGGAAUGGAGUUAAUUCUCAAAAAAAGUUGUCUAUCCUAAAUUGGUGAAAGCUUUGAGAAUUCAAAAUUGAGAUGGGUCUCUUCUCAUCCGUUUCCCCCCUUUUUCUUUUGGGAGAAUCCUAUUUCACCUUCUAUAUAUUAUUGUUCUCCACUGUUAAGAAGGGGGAUUUUUUUUGAAAGCUUAAAAGUUUUCGGCAAAAGAUUUUAUAGAGGAAAGAAAGUUGCUAACCUAAAACGUUCAUAUAAGAAAAUACAUUCUGAAUAUAUACUUGAUUUCUUUGUUCGUGGUUUGCUGGGAAUUUGCCGGUUUCUUUGAAGUUAUUCCUUGAAGUUGGUGGAAAAGUCACGUUCUCCAAGCUCGUCAGCCUUUCUUGUUCGCCGCACCUUAAAAGCUAUGUGUUGGUUUGCUUCAGCGACCAAUGUGGAUGGACCUUAAAAUAAUCUUGCAGAAAAAAAUCUGAUGUAUUCAAAGUGAGAUAUUUCAACAGUGAACAUACAUGUCCGAUGCGGGAUAGGAUACCAACAAAAGUACAAGCAACAAUUGGAUUUAUUAGUGGUGUGACUGCCCCUAAAUUGGUAAAUCAUAAAAGAAUCCAUACACUUCGAGAUGUAAUUGAAGAUAUUAGAGAAUUGUAUGGGGUUGAGGUAUCGUACCAACAAGCAUGGCGUGCUAGAGAACGUGCACUAGAAAUGCUCAAGGGUAAGCCAUCCGAAGGAUAUAAACAGAUGCCGAGAUACAUAUGGAUGCUAAAUAAAGUGUAUCCAAAUUCAUAUAUAAGGAUGCAAAAGACGGAAGAUAAUAAAUUCAUGUAUCUGUUCAUAGCAGUAAGACCGUUGAUAAGAGGGUUUGACUACUGCAGGCUGUAGUUGUAGUUGACGCUGCACAUCUUGGCGGGGCAUACAAGGAUACUUUUGUAUCAGCAAGCACACUCGAUGGUGCAGGUUGUUCCAUCAUUUGAAUAUAUUUUCACAGUUCAUGAAGCCAGAAAAAGAUACAUUGUAUGCCUUGAGAGGAAAACUUGCACAUGUGGAAGGUUUCAACAUGAUGAGGUACCUUGCGUACACGCAAUUGCAGCUUUGAAGCACAAGAAUGUUAACAAUUUGCACCCAUAUUGCUCUGAUUACUACAAGUCGUAUGCAUUAGAAAAAACGUACGAGGUUGUAAUGGUUCCAAUGCCAGAUAAGGAGGAUUGAAACGUUCCAGAAUAUGUUUUAGAUGAAAUUGUUCGGCCACCUAAGUAUAGAAGGUUGGCUGGACGACCAAGAAAGUGAAGAAAGAAAAAUGCGGAUGAGAAAAUAAUAGUGAACAAUAAUUGUUGUGGGCAGUGUGGACAAGAAGGACAUAACAUGAGAACUUGUACUUUCUUCCCGAAAGAGAAUUGAAAGAAUGUUUUAAAGAAGGACAUUAGUGUUCAUGGUACUUAUAUCCAUUUUUUCUUUAGAAUUUGGACUAAAUAAAGUGUAUUGGUUACACAACUUAAUUUGAUGUUCAAAUAUAUGACUUUGCAGUUUAAUUAUGUGCCAAAUUUAAAUUCCAAAUUUUAUAAAUAAAUAGAUUCAA
Non-coding RNA from Solanum lycopersicum (tomato), 1826 nucleotides. Lineage: Eukaryota; Viridiplantae; Streptophyta; Magnoliopsida; Solanales; Solanaceae. The record is from RefSeq and is a predicted model, not a curated record.